CUUGGUCAUUUAGAGGNAGUAAAAGUCGUAACAAGGUUUCCGUAGGUGAACCUGCGGAAGGAUCAUUCAUAAUAAGUGUUUUAUGGCACUUUUUUAAAUCCAUAUCCACCUUGUGUGCAAUGUCAGGGUUGAUUUUCUCUCGAGAGGAUCAANCCCCAAACAUCAACUAUUAUCUCAACUCUUUGUCUGAAAAAUAUUAUGAAUAAAACAAUUCAAAAUACAACUUUCAACAACGGAUCUCUUGGCUCUCGCAUCGAUGAAGAACGCAGCGAAAUGCGAUACGUAAUGUGAAUUGCAGAAUUCAGUGAAUCAUCGAAUCUUUGAACGCAUAUUGCGCUCUUUGGUAUUCCGAAGAGCAUGCUUGUUUGAGUAUCAGUAAACACCUCAAAGCCUUUUUUUGUUAAGAGACUUUGGACUUGAGCAAUCCCAACACUUCUUUUUUUUAGAAGGGGCGGGUUGCUUGAAAUGCAGGUGCAGCUGGACAUUCUCCUGAGCUAAAAGCAUAUUCAUUUAGUCCCGUCAAACGGAUUAUUACUUUUUGCUGCAGCUAAUAUAAAGGGAGUUUGACCAUUUUGGCUGACUGAUGCAGGAUUUUCACAAGAGUCUUCAAACCACUCUUGUUAAACUCGAUCUCAAAUCAAGUAAGACUACCCGCUGAACUUAAGCAUAUCAAUAAGCGGAGGA
RNAcentral lists this ribosomal RNA (684 nucleotides) under uncultured fungus. RNAcentral's name for it is "eukaryotic LSU rRNA". The stretch from base 222 to 375 matches the Rfam family "5.8S ribosomal RNA". Lineage: Eukaryota; Fungi. The record is from RNAcentral.